Molecule: ribosomal RNA, 1326 nt
Filed under: Escherichia coli
Lineage: Bacteria; Pseudomonadati; Pseudomonadota; Gammaproteobacteria; Enterobacterales; Enterobacteriaceae
Description: partial 23S ribosomal RNA
Rfam family: Bacterial large subunit ribosomal RNA
Source: RNAcentral
CGGGACACGUGGUAUCCUGUCUGAAUAUGGGGGGACCAUCCUCCAAGGCUAAAUACUCCUGACUGACCGAUAGUGAACCAGUACCGUGAGGGAAAGGCGAAAAGAACCCCGGCGAGGGGAGUGAAAAAGAACCUGAAACCGUGUACGUACAAGCAGUGGGAGCACGCUUAGGCGUGUGACUGCGUACCUUUUGUAUAAUGGGUCAGCGACUUAUAUUCUGUAGCAAGGUUAACCGAAUAGGGGAGCCGAAGGGAAACCGAGUCUUAACUGGGCGUUAAGUUGCAGGGUAUAGACCCGAAACCCGGUGAUCUAGCCAUGGGCAGGUUGAAGGUUGGGUAACACUAACUGGAGGACCGAACCGACUAAUGUUGAAAAAUUAGCGGAUGACUUGUGGCUGGGGGUGAAAGGCCAAUCAAACCGGGAGAUAGCUGGUUCUCCCCGAAAGCUAUUUAGGUAGCGCCUCGUGAAUUCAUCUCCGGGGGUAGAGCACUGUUUCGGCAAGGGGGUCAUCCCGACUUACCAACCCGAUGCAAACUACGAAUACCGGAGAAUGUUAUCACGGGAGACACACGGCGGGUGCUAACGUCCGUCGUGAAGAGGGAAACAACCCAGACCGCCAGCUAAGGUCCCAAAGUCAUGGUUAAGUGGGAAACGAUGUGGGAAGGCCCAGACAGCCAGGAUGUUGGCUUAGAAGCAGCCAUCAUUUAAAGAAAGCGUAAUAGCUCACUGGUCGAGUCGGCCUGCGCGGAAGAUGUAACGGGGCUAAACCAUGCACCGAAGCUGCGGCAGCGACGCUUAUGCGUUGUUGGGUAGGGGAGCGUUCUGUAAGCCUGCGAAGGUGUGCUGUGAGGCAUGCUGGAGGUAUCAGAAGUGCGAAUGCUGACAUAAGUAACGAUAAAGCGGGUGAAAAGCCCGCUCGCCGGAAGACCAAGGGUUCCUGUCCAACGUUAAUCGGGGCAGGGUGAGUCGACCCCUAAGGCGAGGCCGAAAGGCGUAGUCGAUGGGAAACAGGUUAAUAUUCCUGUACUUGGUGUUACUGCGAAGGGGGGACGGAGAAGGCUAUGUUGGCCGGGCGACGGUUGUCCCGGUUUAAGCGUGUAGGCUGGUUUUCCAGGCAAAUCCGGAAAAUCAAGGCUGAGGCGUGAUGACGAGGCACUACGGUGCUGAAGCAACAAAUGCCCUGCUUCCAGGAAAAGCCUCUAAGCAUCAGGUAACAUCAAAUCGUACCCCAAACCGACACAGGUGGUCAGGUAGAGAAUACCAAGGCGCUUGAGAGAACUCGGGUGAAGGAACUAGGCAAAAUGGUGCCGUAACUUCGGGAGAAGG